GCGUUGGAGUUACCCCACUCAGUUGUCUGCAGUGGGAAAUGUAUAGAAGAAAUGCUGGAGAAGAUAGUAGCAAUGCAGAAGUUAGUAGACUUCGGGCAACAAUUGAAGAUAUGAAGGAUCGCCAUUAGGCAGAGUUGGCGGAGCUGAAGCAGAACCAACAAACUUUGCAGUCUCAGCUUGAGCAUAUUUCAUCUAUGUUGCAGCGAUUUCUCCCUCCUCAAAUUUCUGAUACUUCAACAACUCGUAGAGAUGAUGAUAGUGCUGAAUCCGGUCCCUGAUAUUUUUGAGACAGUUAUCUAAGAAGUUUUAUAUGUAUUUUUCUUAUAUUUUUUAAAAUACAUUGUAAUUCUAAACUUAUUAUGUAAAUUUCAUCAUAUAUGACAAUAUGUAUUUUUUGAAUGAUCUGAAUGUUUGUUUUGAUGUAAAUGUAAUGCAGGUUCAUAUUGCUAUAAUAUGUUUCUUAAUGUGUA
Phoenix dactylifera (date palm) is the source of this 470-nucleotide non-coding RNA. Lineage: Eukaryota; Viridiplantae; Streptophyta; Magnoliopsida; Arecales; Arecaceae. The record is from RefSeq and is a predicted model, not a curated record.